RNAcentral lists this ribosomal RNA (442 nucleotides) under uncultured bacterium. RNAcentral describes it as "partial 16S ribosomal RNA". It matches the Rfam family "Bacterial small subunit ribosomal RNA", at positions 338 to 795 of the family's 1533-position model. The record is from RNAcentral.
CCUACGGGAGGCAGCAGUAAGGAAUCUUUGACAAUGGGCGAAAGCCUGAUGGAGCAACGCCGCGUGCAGGAUGAAGGCCUUAGGGUUGUAAACUGCUUUUAUAAGCGAGAAAUAUGAUGUUAACGUAUGAAUAAGGAUCGGCUAACUACGUGCCAGCAGCCGCGGUCAUACGUAGGAUCCGAGCAUUAUCCGGAGUGACUGGGUGUAAAGAGUUGCGUAGGUGGCUUAAUAAGUAGCUGGUGAAAUCUGGUGGCUCAACCAUUCAGACUAUUAGGUAAACUGUUAAGCUCGAGACCGUUAGAGGUAACUGGAAUUUGUAGUGUAGGAGUGAAAUGCUUAGAUAUUAGAAGGAACACCGAUAGCGUAGGCAGGUUGCUGGGACGGUUCUGACACUAAGGCACGAAAGCGUAGGGAGCAAACGGGAUUAGAUACCCUGGUAGUC